Molecule: non-coding RNA, 575 nt
Organism: Pimephales promelas (fathead minnow)
Lineage: Eukaryota; Metazoa; Chordata; Actinopteri; Cypriniformes; Leuciscidae
Source: RefSeq, a predicted model, not a curated record
GGAACAGCCUUUCAACCUCCGAUGAGGAAGAGCUGAUUAUGUUUGGAAGUUCGUGCCAUUGAGAUGAGGAUCUAUGACUAAAUCACUGCAGUCUGGGUACAUACAGUGCACUUUGAAGCUUGGUAAUUUAGUGUAAAUGUUAGAGCGUGAGGGGUCUGACGGGGCCUGAGAGGGAUCUCCUGUGAUCUGUGUGACAAGAGGAGGGGCCUUCCAGGGGAAAGGGCAUCUGCUUUGAAUCCCACCACGCGGGCAGCCUACACCCCACUGCUGUAUUUUCGUCUCCCAUAAGACCUGAAGAUAUUAGAUUAGAUCAGCAAACCACAUCCACUUCAGACCAAUAUUAAUAAACUCCUUUAUAUUGCAUAUGGGUAAAUAUUAUGCAUAUUCGACACUAUGGGUAAAUAUUUUACAUCCAGACCAAUAUUAAUGAGCUCCUUUCCAUUGCAUGAGUAAAUAUGCAUAUGGGACACUAUGGGUAAAUAUUUGUUUAUUGAAUAAGGUUAGGGAAACCUCGUAAGGUCAAAUGUGUGCUAAAAAACAUAAAAGAUUCAUGGACAAUAAAAUGUGUGAGGAAA